RNAcentral lists this ribosomal RNA (467 nucleotides) under uncultured bacterium. RNAcentral's name for it is "partial 16S ribosomal RNA". It matches the Rfam family "Bacterial small subunit ribosomal RNA", at positions 29 to 507 of the family's 1533-position model. The record is from RNAcentral.
AUGAACGCUGGCGGCGUGCUUAACACAUGCAAGUCGAACGGAAAGGCCCAAGCUUGCUUGGGUACUCGAGUGGCGAACGGGUGAGUAACACGUGGGUGAUCUGCCCUGCACUUCGGGAUAAGCCUGGGAAACUGGGUCUAAUACCGGAUAGGACGAUGGUUUGGAUGCCAUUGUGGAAAGUUUUUUCGGUGUGGGAUGAGCUCGCGGCCUAUCAGCUUGUUGGUGGGGUAAUGGCCUACCAAGGCGUCGACGGGUAGCCGGCCUGAGAGGGUGUACGGCCACAUUGGGAGUGAGCUACGGCCCAGACUCCGACGUGAGGCAGCAGUGGGGGAUGUUGCACAAUGGGCGCAAGCCUGAUGCAGCGACGCCGCGUGGGGGAUGAGGGCCUUCGGGUUGUAAAGGCCUAUCGCUAGGGACGAAGCGUUUUUGUGACGGUACCUGGAGAAGAAGCACCGGCUAACUACGUG